AAGCAUUAUACAGCGAAACUGCGAAUGGCUCAUUAAAUCAGUUAUCGUUUAUUUGAUAGUACCUUACUACUUGGAUAACCGUGGUAAUUCUAGAGCUAAUACAUGCUAAAAACCCCGACUCACGAAGGGGUGUAUUUAUUAGAUUAAAAACCAAUGCCCUUCGGGGCUCUUUGGUGAUUCAUAAUAACUUUUCGAAUCGCAUGGCCUUGCGCCGGCGAUGGUUCAUUCAAAUUUCUGCCCUAUCAACUUUCGAUGGCAGGGUCUUGGCCUGCCAUGGUUACAACGGGUAACGGAGGGUUAGGGCUCGACCCCGGAGAAGGAGCCUGAGAAACGGCUACUACAUCCAAGGAAGGCAGCAGGCGCGCAAAUUACCCAAUCCCGAUUCGGGGAGGUAGUGACAAUAAAUACUGAUACAGGGCUCUUUUGGGUCUUGUAAUUGGAAUGAGUACAAUUUAAAUCCCUUAACGAGGAACAAUUGGAGGGCAAGUCUGGUGCCAGCAGCCGCGGUAAUUCCAGCUCCAAUAGCGUAUAUUAAAGUUGUUGCAGUUAAAAAGCUCGUAGUUGAACCUUGGGCCUGGCUGGCCGGUCCGCCUCACCGCGUGCACUGGUUCGGCCGGGCCUUUCCCUCUGGGGAACCUCAUGGUCUUCACUGAUCGUGAUGGGGAACCAGGACUUUUACUGUGAAAAAAUUAGAGUGUUCAAAGCAGGCCUAUGCUCGAAUACAUUAGCAUGGAAUAAUAAAAUAGGACGUGUGGUUCUAUUUUGUUGGUUUCUAGGACCGCCGUAAUGAUUAAUAGGGACAGUCGGGGGCAUCAGUAUUCAAUUGUCAGAGGUGAAAUUCUUGGAUUUAUUGAAGACUAACUACUGCGAAAGCAUUUGCCAAGGAUGUUUUCAUUAAUCAGGAACGAAAGUUAGGGGAUCGAAGACGAUCAGAUACCGUCGUAGUCUUAACCAUAAACUAUGCCGACUAGGGAUCGGACGGUGUUACUUA
RNAcentral lists this ribosomal RNA (991 nucleotides) under Neopestalotiopsis phangngaensis. Its description in RNAcentral is "SSU rRNA". It matches the Rfam family "Eukaryotic small subunit ribosomal RNA", at positions 67 to 1069 of the family's 1831-position model. Lineage: Eukaryota; Fungi; Ascomycota; Sordariomycetes; Amphisphaeriales; Sporocadaceae. The record is from RNAcentral.